This 408-nucleotide ribosomal RNA is filed under the name Triticum aestivum (bread wheat). RNAcentral describes it as "partial small subunit ribosomal RNA". The record is from RNAcentral. Lineage: Eukaryota; Viridiplantae; Streptophyta; Magnoliopsida; Poales; Poaceae.
AUGCUCUCACCGAACGCGUCUCUUUCAGUUCUGCUAUGGAUUCUAGCUCCAGAGUUUUACCACUCCAUCCCCAUGCCAUUCCUCCAUUUUAUAGUGUUCUAUGGUUUUACAAACCUUUGCAUCGAACGGGGCCUGAAUGUCUUCUUAAGUGGAGAAGUUCUCAAGCCCUACGCCCAAGGAAGCAAAAUAAAGCUUUUUCACUUUGUUCUAUCAAGUAAUUUUUUUUGCAUGAACAUCUCUGAGCUUGACACCAACGCUCAUCACCUGCCUCCGGCACCACGACAGCAACCAUCGAAGAAAAGACGGAUGGAUCACCUCCUCGCCCGAGCUCGACGCGGCUCCAUCACUAAUACGCAGCUUUAUGGACCUCCAAGGUGGCUCAUCAAAAGUGAAGCCCUUAUCGUUUAA